Poecilia latipinna (sailfin molly) is the source of this 966-nucleotide long non-coding RNA. RefSeq lists it as uncharacterized. The record is from RefSeq and is a predicted model, not a curated record. The transcript is spliced from 3 exons. Lineage: Eukaryota; Metazoa; Chordata; Actinopteri; Cyprinodontiformes; Poeciliidae.
GCUAACUGUUUCCAUGCGGCUGAUACCAUCUUGUCUGCGCUCUUACACUCUCUCCCUGGCGCAUUUCUUUUUUAUUCUUCACAGUCUGGCACCGUAAAGCCGACCGAUGUGAAAACCCUGUAGCCUUUCAGCACGCCUCCAGACACGCAGGCGUGAAAGGCAAAAUUAGCUUCUGAAGCUGCAUCAGGCCCAACAACUGAGGGAGGUAUUGCUGAAGCUAACCGAUAGAAAAUACUCUUGUACAUGCUCUGGCUUCAUAUCAGUCAGUUGUGAUCAAAAACUGAAUGCUGUUUUUGGAAUUCUGCUAGAAGUCUGAAGAUGAACAUGAGUUCCAUUUACCAGCAUCCAAGCAACUUUUAAGACAACCCCAAAAAAACAAUGGCUUCAGGAGACGAUAAUGAAUGCUUUUCAAAUGACUUCGACAAAGAACUAAAUCAGGCAGAGGAUGUCUGCGAGAGAUCCUCACAACCUGACGGAUUUGGAGAACUUCUGGAGGGCAAAUAUUGUCAAAUCAAGAUUUAGGACGCCCCAUAAACUCCAACUGAAGACGACUGAAUGCUGAGAAUGUUCUUCAACAAAGAGAGUUCAAAUCAGGCAGCCAGGUUAUUGCAGCGUUUUACUGUUCAUAGUUUUCCAUUCUCCAGAUUUGUUUGUUUUUCCUCUGAAUAAUGCAGGAUGUGUGUCACAUCAACGGUGGGAUUUCAAUGAUUUAUGGUGGUCAGGUCUUGUACCCUGGAAUAAUGUUGUUUUAACAGCAGAGAGUGGAACAUUUAUAUCCACUGUUACAUUAUACUCAACUUUACCUCACAAACAGACACAUCACAGCUCUACAGUCUGGUGACAUACAGGCAGGGCUCAGGCUUGGUCUUAAUAAGUUCACGGCUCUCUAUAUCUCUCUAUCUCCAGAAAUGUAAACACACUCGGUAGACUGUUAAAUUGUCACAACUUCAUAAAAAGUUCAACACC